Molecule: small RNA, 427 nt
Filed under: Drosophila yakuba
Lineage: Eukaryota; Metazoa; Arthropoda; Insecta; Diptera; Drosophilidae
Description: GE27352
Source: RNAcentral
CUUAAAAGGAAAAGUGUAAACAACAUUGGAAACCAUAAGCAUUUGGCUAAAUCGAGAUCCGUGCACUCCACGUGCAUGUGAGACACCUCGGGACAACAUGUGAGCCUAUUGAGACACCUCGGGACAAAAUGUGAGCCCAUUGAGACACCUUGGGCAAUGAGCCCCCUGGAACACCAGUUUCGCACUGGAGACUCAUUCCGUUUUGAGGUUAUGUAUGGGUUCAGCUGCAGCAAACACAUGGAUAUCACCCAUAAAGAACAACUCAGCAGUAUGGUGUGAACGGACUCCAAGAAUAACUAAGUGAACUCGUUUAUUUGACAGCAUUUAUAAGAAUGACGUUGACAGCCUUGUAAAGAAUAAUUGGAAAUUUUCAUAUACCGAAAAACUAAUAAAAUUAAAUCAUAAUAAAUUACAUACAUUGUUUAUU